UGUCAGACAACCGCAUGACCAUCUCAACCACCGAGGCAGCUGAGAACGAUCCUCUACAGCCAGGAGACUCACAGCUUGAAUCUCGGCUAUUAAUCACGCUCUGAUCACACGAUCCUGGUUCAUCCACCAGGCUUUGGUUACCGUCUCCUUUUAACUCAAGGAUACAGAGGUACUUCCCUAUAGAACAGAUCCUGUUCAAGUAAGGUCGUAUCAUACAGUCUCAUUUCUUUGUUCAAAUAGUGUUCCAAACCUCUCACUUUAGUCCAUGUGGGACUAAACCAUUGGCAGUCCUCAUAAGACAUCAAGUUUUUUAUUUGUAUUGAUUUUGGAAGUUUUACAUAAGAUUACAAAUCAGGAGAAAGACUUCACAAUCACAUAGGCACAUAAAUACAGUCAAAAUUAUGAUUUAAUAGACUCUUCUGUAUUUGAGAUUGUAUCAAUAGACUUAGAACUCAAUCUGGAAUACAUAGCCACAUAGGCACCUCAUGAACAGUGUUUUCAAUCAUUUAUUGAUCAUAUUUACUCCCAUAUUGGUAAUACACAUAGAGGUCUCAACGUUAUAUACCAAUUCCUUCCAAAAUGUUGUGAGCAAUGACUUGACUAGCGACAUGGUAGACUGGGUUUCUACUAAUCCUCAGAUAUCUGAUGAUCAGUUGCGCACAUGAGCUCUUUUUAACUCUUUUUAAACUUGCCAAUCAUGCAGUAGUAUGGUUUUCUACCCAGCAACAACACAGGCAAGGCAACCCCAAUGAGUUGUGAAUCAAAUGUCAAUCUAUUGUCAAUCUAUCAUAAGCACAAUGCAACUGACUCUCAAAUUUAGAGUAGUUCUUCUCUGUUUACUUAAGUAUUAAAACCCUCAAUGGCCUUCGUCAUAACCUUGAAGAAAAAACGUGUCUACCAAGUGCCAACUAAUACCAUAUUCUCACACAGAUGAGUCUGAUAUGUGCUCAGAGUUUUGUAAUUAUGCUUCCAAGUAGACUAAUGAGCAAUGAAGACAAUAUGUGCAUAAGUAGCAUUUAGCCAAGAUUUUUCAAGAAAUUGUUUUUAUGUAGCCUGCAGCAAAGCAAAAAUACUCUAUUGACAGGCACCUCAAUUUAUUUGAAGGUAUUUGAGAUUAGAAAUGACAUGGAGUGGCCUAACACAAUAACACAUCAGAGUAUGAGCUAAUAUUUUGUGAUAUGUCCACCGUGAAGAUCAAUGUGUCUGACUAUACCUUUGGAAAAUUUACGCGUUUUACAUGAAAAAACAAUGUAUUUCGAAGGGGAAAAAAAAAGAUGAUUUGGGGCCUGUCAGACAACCGCAUGACCAUCUCAGUCACCGGGGCAGCUGAGAACGAUCCUCUACAGCCAGGAGACUCAUAGCUUGAACCUUGGCCACUAAUCACGCUCUGAUCACACGGUCCUGGGUCAUCAACCAGGCUUUGGUUACCGUCUCCUUUUUACUGAAGGAUACAGAGGUACUUCCCUAUAGAACAGAUCCUGUUCAAGUAAGGUCG
This 1495-nucleotide long non-coding RNA is filed under the name Aquilegia coerulea. RNAcentral describes it as "long non-coding RNA (ACOE_LNC000519)". Lineage: Eukaryota; Viridiplantae; Streptophyta; Magnoliopsida; Ranunculales; Ranunculaceae. The record is from RNAcentral.